CAGCUAGAGAUUGAUAGAUGACACAGAGGUGUUGGUUUCCGGUUGUUUGCUUGAUCUUUGCAGAAAGAGUAGAUAAUUCUGGAGCUUUUCGGAAUUGAAAGAGGACGAACACAGUAUUAAAACAAAUUGCUUGAUCUGUCUGGUUUUGGAGGUACAGAGCUGGGUUGCUUUUAAUCGGUGGUACUGGUCUACAUAUCAUUUGUGUUACCUCUUGAGAAGCUACAUAGGUUUGGUUAGAAGCUGAGGUUUUUCCGUGCGGUCCCAGUCUUGGUCUCUUUGUGUCCGGUUGCUGCUGGGUUCUGAAGAUCUUUGUUAGCAAAACGAAUAUCAAUAGAUAUGGAAACUUGCUCGAACGCGGUGUCAGGCAAUGAGGAGAAAUUGAGAUGAGGCCAGUUAAAGUACGGGACAUCCAACCACUGAAGAAAAACUUAUCGAUCAAGGAUUGGGUGUGUUAUGGAGAUUAAAAUAAAGAUAAAGCAGGCUAUAUAUUUUACGGAACAACAUUCUGAUCGAUGAAGGUUCAGUACGUGAAAUCCAAUCACCCUUUCAUGGUCCUGUCACAACUAUACAUUUUGAUGAAAGAGGCUUUACGCUGUAUGUUGGUACUUUUAACAAUUGUAAACCCCGCAGCAAAGUGCGGACAUACUUUCUAGUAUGCAUUAAUUACAAGA
RNAcentral lists this long non-coding RNA (671 nucleotides) under Rosa chinensis. RNAcentral describes it as "sRNA RchiOBHm_Chr5g0009871". Lineage: Eukaryota; Viridiplantae; Streptophyta; Magnoliopsida; Rosales; Rosaceae. The record is from RNAcentral.